AGCCCAUCUGCACCCAGGCGCUCACUGAAACAGUGUGUUGCUCCACACCGCCUUGUUUUGCUUGUUGGCGCGCUCUCAGGGUUCCGACCAAUCCAAGAGCCUUGCAGAAAGCAUUAACGUGCUUUUCUCUUUGGCAGAGUUUUUCUUUGCUCUGAUCUUGGAGACAUCCCUCUGCCUAGUGGAAACAUAAGGAAUACAGAAAGAAUGCAAGGAGAUAGACCAACGUGAGAUUCUCCUUCAUGCACUCAAGAGAAAGAUGUUGCAGGAAGAGCUAGUCUUUCAGGCUGGGCUGGUGACCUGAGAAAGAAUGUCCAGCUUUUCUUCUCCACUUGGCAUAUCAAGAGCCAGGCGUGGAAGACUAAAACAGGAAAUGUUUAUAAAAACUGUUCAGCGGUUCGCCAACAAGAAGUGGUAAAGUAGCAAAAAUGGGGAUGGAGAUGCCAGGAGGAAAGAUGCCAGGGGUAAAGUGGGAAAAUGGGAACCUGAAGCCAGGAGGUCAAGCCAAGCCAACAGGUGUUCUGUUUUUCAAUGAGGAGGUGGGGCACAGGAUGGAUGGAAACUUUCCACAGUCACAGAACUAAUAAGUGGUGCUGAGGACUCAAACCCGGGGAAGCCCACUCUAGAACCCAUGCUGGUCAUCCAUAUCCCCAAGGCCCUGGUCAGAACACAGCUAAGCAGAUGGCUUGGGUCAUCAGGACGUCCAUUACAUCCAAAGGAAGACAGCCUGUGACGUUUCAAAAGCAAAAGUCCCCUACCAGCCAGUGAAGCUACCUGAUUUCUCAGUAUCUUACGCCCAGUGACACGAUCUACCCUCAAAACUUAAAAAAAAAAGGGAAACAUAAACACAUAACAGCAGCAGCAAUAAUUAAAGAUGAGAUGAGAACAAUUAAGAAAAAAGGAAAGGUCUCCUGUGACUGUUUUAUUUUUAGGGAAACAGAGAGGAAGAAGAAUGAUUUUUCUUUUGAUGACUCUAUAUCCAACUCUGAGGUUUGAUUAAAGAAAUGACCUUGAACCACAGCAAAGAAAAAUAAAAGACAAUUUCCAGUAA
Molecule: long non-coding RNA, 1048 nt
Filed under: Homo sapiens (human)
Lineage: Eukaryota; Metazoa; Chordata; Mammalia; Primates; Hominidae
Description: non-protein coding LINC01436:3
Source: RNAcentral